AGAAGAGGAGCUUCUGGCCCAAAAUAUGGUGUUUUAAUAUACAGUGGUGCCUCGCAAGACGAAAAACUCGCUAGACGAAAGGGUUUUGCGUUUUUUGAGCUGCUUCGCAAGACGAAUUUCCCUAUGGGCUUGCUUCGCAAGACGAAAACGUCUUGCAAGUUUGUUUCCUUUUUCUUAAAACCGUUAAUACCCAGGGUGCAUUGCUUGAAGAGGUGCAGUUGCGACUUGACUUCGAGGAGCAACACAUUGCAGGUGGUGUGGUAGCCUUUUUUGAGGUUUUUGAGGACUUUGCUGAUUUUUGAAGCUUUUCCAAAACUUCUUUUGCAGCCAUUUGGUAAGUUAAACUUUUAAAACUUUUUGGGGGGUUUUUGGAUUUUGGGUUGGGGUGUUUGGAAUUCAAGGACUUGGUGUUGGGGAGGGGUUUGCAAGAAUCUGGAAGCUUGUGGGGUUUUUUCCCUGCAUUUUUAUGAUUUUCUGUGACCAUUGGGCCACUCUGCUUUUUUUAAAAAAAAAUUCUGGAUUUGAAUUUCUGUGUGGUGGGUGGCUGGGGGAACAGUUGAGGAGGGGUUUGCAAGAAUCUGGAAGCUUGUGUGGUUUUUUUCUGCAUUUUUAUGAUUUUCUGUGACCAUUGGGCCACUCUGCUUUUUUUUAAAAAAAAAUCUGGAUUUGAAUUUCUGUGUGGUGGGUGGCUGGGGGAACAGUUGGGGAGGGGUUUGCAAUUUCUGUGUGGUGGGUGACUGGGGGAAUAGUUGAGGUUUUUGAAGACUUUGGUGAUUUUUGAAGCUUUUCCAAAACUUCUUUUGCAGCCAUUCGGUAAGUUAAACUUUAAAAACUUUUUGGGGGGUUUUUGGAUUUUGGGUUGGGGUGUUUGGAAUUCAAGGACUUGGUUCUGGGUUUGAAUUUCUGUGUGGUGGGUGGCUGGGUGCUUUUGAAUUUUUUGGAUGUGAAGCACUGAUUUGUUUUUAUUUUUUUAUUUUUUUGGCGAAGGUAGGAGCUGUGCUGCCAUGGGACCCAAGAAGACUGCUGCUGCAGAGGCCGGCGAGGGGAAGAAGGCGAAGGUUACGCUGGAAAUGAAGAAGGAGAUCAUCCGGAAGCACGACAGUGGAAUGCGUGUGACAGACCUCGCCAGGGAGUACGGGAGGAAUCCAUCGACCAUCGGGACCAUCCUGAAGAUGAGGGAGAAGAUCCUUGCGACUGAUGCAGCCAAGGGAGUCACCAGGAUCGUGAAGAACCGCCCAGCUGUUCUGGAGGAGGUUGAGAAGUUGCUGCUCAUCUGGUUAGAAGAGAAGCAGCGUGCAGGGGACACAGUGACUGAGGCCGUCAUUUGUGAGAAGGCCAAGGCCUUGCACGCAGAUCUCGUCCGGGAACAGCCAGGAACCUCAGGCGAGCCAGAAGUCUUCAAGGCAAGCAGAGGCUGGUUUGACCGGUUCAAGACGAGAUCUGGAAUCCACAGCGUGGUCAGGCAUGGAGAGGCUGCCAGUUCUGAUGUUCCUGCGGCUGAAGAACUGAGGGACAUUUGCCAGAAGUGGAAAGAUGUGCAGGCUUUUGCACAGCGGCACCACCCUGACAAGGACCUGACACGUGACCUUGCGAACACUUUUGAUACGAGGGUCAUGUCGCCUUUCAGGGAGGUGCUGAAAAGGCGGAUGAAGCAGCAAGGUUCUUCAGCAAGAAGCAAAGAGUGGAAGAGGAACCUUCUUCGAGUUGUCCCCCAGAGUCUUAGAAAAUGUACUGUACACUUUGUUGAUUUUUAAAUGUUUUUCUGUGAUGUUUAGAAACUUAAUUUAUUGUUCCUUCAGUUUUAGAAAUGCUCUUUACAGUAUGUGUGACUUUAAAGAGCACUUAAUAAACUCUUGUUGUACCAAAUUUGGCUUUGUUUGGACUUUUUUUGACCAUAGGAACGCAUUAAUUGAAUUUCAAUGCAUUCCUAUGGGAUUUCGUGCUUCGCAAGACGAAAAAUUCGCUAGACGAAAAAACUCGCGGAACGAAUUAAUUUCGUCUUGCGAGGCACCACUGUAGUUUG
This 2023-nucleotide long non-coding RNA is filed under the name Podarcis lilfordi (Lilford's wall lizard). Lineage: Eukaryota; Metazoa; Chordata; Lepidosauria; Squamata; Lacertidae. The record is from RNAcentral.